This is a non-coding RNA of Glycine max (soybean), 195 nucleotides long. The record is from Rfam. Lineage: Eukaryota; Viridiplantae; Streptophyta; Magnoliopsida; Fabales; Fabaceae.
AUACCUUUCUCGGCCUUUUGGCUAAGAUCAAGUGUAGUAUCUGUUCUUAUCAGUUUAAUAUCUGAUAUGUGGGCCAUUGGUCCACACGAUAUUAAAUUACUUUUUUUAAGGGGAGAGGCCAACACAGUAGCUUGCUAUUGGGUCUCUCGUGUGUCGCCAUGCGUUGCACUUUAGCACGGGCCUGGCACACCCUAC